CCUACGGGAGGCAGCAGUGAGGAAUAUUGGUCAAUGGGCGAGAGCCUGAACCAGCCAAGUCGCGUGAGGGAGUACUGCCCUAUGGGUUGUCAACCUCUUUUGUCGGGGAGCAAAAGCCGGACGUGUCCGGCUGUGAGAGUACCCGAAGAAAAAGCCCCGGCUAACUACGUGCCAGCAGCCGCUGUAAUACGUAGGGGGCAAGCGUUAUCCGGAUUUCCUGGGUGGAACGGGGGGGCAGACGGCGAUGAAAGGCAGGAGUGAAAGCCCCGGGCUCAACCCCGGGACUGCUCAUGGAACUGCGUGGCUGGAGUGCAGGAGGGGCAGGCGGAAUUCCGGGUGUAGCAGUGAAAUGCGUAGAUAUCAGGAGGAACACCGGUGGCGAAGGCGGCUUACUGGACUGUAACUGACGUUGAGGCUCGAAGGCGUGGGGAGCAAACAGGAUUAGAUACCCGAGUAGUC
This 459-nucleotide ribosomal RNA is filed under the name uncultured bacterium. Its description in RNAcentral is "partial 16S ribosomal RNA". It matches the Rfam family "Bacterial small subunit ribosomal RNA", at positions 338 to 795 of the family's 1533-position model. The record is from RNAcentral.